GUUAGAGUUAUAUUUAUAUAGCCAUGUAGCCUUUUGUCUUUACCCCAUUGUAUAAGGGGUUUUCUGCAUAUUACCUGCACCUGUACAUGUAUAUAUACUGGCCUAUGGCCCCAUGGGAAUACAAGUUGCAUAUUUCCUAACAUGGUAUUAGAGCCCUAGGGUUUUUUUUUCGCACGCGCAACUCGUGCUCUUCGAUCCAAUUUCUGGCGUCGGUUGCCGCUGCUCCUCUCUCCGGCCGACUGCUGCUGCUCAUCUGUGUACGCACAACCACAACUCUCCUGAUCGCCGUUGUGUUCGUCCGCACCCGAUUCUCCGUUGGCCGCUGCUGCCCCGAUCCAUCUGCCUGUCCGGAUCGGGUCGCCUCGAUCCACUCCCCGCCUGCUGGGUCACCCGCCGCAGCCCAAGACGUGCAGUCUGAGGUGUUCGCCCGCUGCUGCCGUUCCUGGCCUCCAGCCCCAGCUCUUUUCUUCGUCAAAAACAAAGGAGCGUACUGCUCCUACCUGGUGCUGCUACGUGUUGUCUCCUCAGUUCCUCUCGAUCUGGUGGUGUACGUGCUCCUACGCGGUGCUACUACUGCUCCUUGGUGCUGCGUGGUGCCUCAGCCGCCGAUUGUCAGAGUAAAAAAAAACUCCUCGAGUAUGCAUCUCUCUGGUUGCCAGAUGACUGUUGACGGUGUUCCCUACAUUGAUCCCGUCUCGCACAUGUGCCGUCUCUCGGUGCUUGGUGCUCCUCCGUUGUUUCCUCGGAGUUCUACAGCCGAUGGUGAUGGUUGCUUUAUGUCGACUUCUACAGACAGUCACUAUUCAACGACUCCUCUUGCAACCUCCGCACAUGGUGUUUGUCGCUCUACACCGACUUCUCUCACGACUUUCACCGGCUGUGCUGGUACAUAUGACUCCAUCGACACGCGCCUUCCCUUGGCGCUUGGGGCUUGUCUACAUGCACCCUCGUCUUCUUCAUCGGCCUCUACAGACGAUGAUGUUUAUGCUACACCGCCUCUAGCGGCUUCCACGGGUGCAUCUUCGUCCACCUCUUCAGUUGAGCUCCUGACUGAGCAGGAGAUUGCGCGACUUCGAUACCUGCUAGCCGCUUCCUCUGGUUCUUCACCGACGGGUUCUGCUGGUUCUGAUACCGACUCUUCUGGCAAUGUGAGACCACCUUCAACACAGUCAGGUACAUCUCCGUGGAUUCUUGAUACUGGAGCAUCUUUUCAUAUGACUCCUGAUUCAUCCACUUUGUCUUCUAUUUGAGCUCUCGAUUCUCAUGUUCAUGUUCUUACUGCUGAUGGUACCUCCCUCCCGGUUAAUGGUCGAGGCAUUCUUAGCACUUCGUCUUUUCAUGUUCCUGAUGUUGCUCAUGUUCCUCGACUUACCAUGCAGCUUAUUUCCGGUGGUCAGAUUGUUGACUCUGGUUGUCGGGUCAUUCUUGACUUUGACUCAUGUUCUGUUCUAGACCGUUCCACCGGUGCUCUCCUUGGUGCUGGCCCACGGCGCCGUGACUCUCAGGGUCUCUGGGAGCUUGACUGGCUUCACCUUCCCUCCGCUGCCACCACCGCCAGUCUUUCCCCCUCUGUUGCCUUGUCUACCAGCUCUUUUCAGCAGUGGCAUCAUCGCCUUGGUCACUUGUGUGGCUCUCGUCUCUCAUCCUUAGUUCGACGUGGUCUUCUUGGAUCCAUCUCCGGCGGUGUGUCUUUAGAUUGUCAGGGUUGUCGGCUUGGUAAACAGGUCCAGUUACCUUAUCCUCAUAGCGACACUGUGUCUCAGCGUCCUUUUGACCUUGUUCACUCCGAUGUCUGGGGUCCAGCUCCAUUUGCCUCGAAAGGAGGUCAUCGCUACUAUAUUAUCUUUAUAGAUGAUUUCUCUCGAUACACCUGGAUAUAUUUUAUGUCUUCUCGUAGUGAGGUGUUAUCUAUCUAUAAGCGUUUUGCUGCCAUGGUUCACACUCAGUUCUCUACUCCUAUUCGUGUUUUCCGUGUUGACUCUGCUGGAGAGUAUAUCUCCAAGAUGUUGCGUGGAGUCCUUGUUGAGCAGGGUACUCUUGCCCAGUUCUCUUGUCCCGGUGCUCAUGCUCAGAAUGGCGUGCCUGAGCGCAAGCAUCGUCACCUUCUUGAGAUGGCUCGUGCGAUGAUGAUUGCCGCCUCUCUUCCGCCUCAUUUUUGGGCCGAGGCUAUCUCCACUUCCGCCUAUCUCAUCAACCUUCAGCCGUCCGCUGCUUUGCAGGGUGGCGUUCCUGUCGAGCGUCUCUUUGAUCGUUCUCCCGAUUACUCAGCACUUCGUUUGUUUGGUUGUGUUUGCUAUGUUCUUCUUGCCCCUCGUGAACGCACCAAACUGACCGCUCAGUCUGUUGAGUGUGUCUUCUUAGGCUAUAGUGACGAGCAUAAGGGCUAUCAUUGUUGGGAUCCUAUCGGUCGUCGGAUGCGUAUUUCUCGGGAUGUAACUUUUGAUGAGUCUCGUCCUUUCUACCCGCAUCCAUCUUCCUCGACCUUUUCAGUGGAGGAUAUCUCUUUCCUCACUUUUCCUGACACGCCUCCCUCUGUGCCCAGUAUUCCUAUUCCUCGUCCUGCUGUUGCAGAUCCGACGCCAUCCUCUCCUAUGGAUUCUUCCCCUCCCUCAUCGCAUGACUCCCCACCUUCAUCACCGACACAUUUCCCAUCUCCACCUUCAUCACCGAUACCUUCCCCUUCUCCACCUUCAUCAUCGCUACAUUCCCCGUCUCCACCUCCAGUGAUUCCACCUCUUCCCUCCUUCCCUUUUCAUUAUACUCGUCAUCCACGUGUUGUGGAUAAAUCCACUGACGUGCCAUCUACUUCUGGUGCGUCAUCCUCCUCAUCCCAGCCGACUUAUGGUCUUCGGGCUCGGCCUCGCCCUCCCCAUGACCGCUACUCUCCUAGUCGAUAUGCUCUUUCGGCUGUACUUGAGCCUACGUCUUAUCGCGAUGCUGUUGUUCAUCCUGAAUGGCAGUUUGCGAUGGCAGAGGAGCUUGCUGCUCUUGAGCGCACUGGCACAUGGGAUCUUGUUUCUCUUCCUCCCGGUGUUCGUCCCAUCACUUGUAAGUGGGUCUACAAGGUUAAGACUCGCUCUGAUGGUUCUCUUGAGCGUUACAAAGCUCGUCUUGUGGCUCGUGGUUUUCAGCAGGAGCAUGGUCGUGAUUACGAUGAGACAUUUGCUCCUGUGGCCCAUAUGACCACUAUCCGCACACUUCUCGCUGUGGCCUCUAUUCGCCAUUGGUCUGUUUCUCAGCUUGAUGUUAAGAAUGCCUUUCUUAAUGGUGAGCUGCGUGAGGAGGUAUACAUGCAGCCCCCACCUGGGUAUUCUAUUCCUGAUGGCAUGGUCUGUCGUCUUCGUCGCUCUCUCUAUGGCCUUAAGCAAGCCCCUCGCGCCUGGUUUGAGCGUUUUGCCUCUGUGGUGACUGCCGCUGGUUUUUGAGCGAGUGAUCAUGAUCCAGCGUUGUUUGUCCACAUUUCCGCUCGUGGUUGGACUCUUCUCCUUCUCUAUGUUGAUGACAUGAUCAUCACUGGCGACGACCCUGAGUAUAUUGCCUUUGUGAAGGCCCGUCUUAGUGAGCAGUUUCUGAUGUCUGAUCUUGGCCCUCUUCGCUACUUUCUUGGGAUCGAAGUCUCUUCUACCUCUGAUGGCUUUUUUAUUUCCCAGGAAAAGUAUAUCCAGGAUCUUCUUGCUCGUGCUGCUCUCACUGAUGAGCGCACUGUUGAUACUCCCAUGGAGCUCAAUGUUCACGUCCGUGAUACUGAUGGUGACCCCUUGUCUGAUCCGACGUGUUAUCGUCAUCUUGUUGGGAGUCUUGUCUAUCUAGCUGUCACUCGACCGGAUAUAUCUUAUCCGGUCCAUAUUCUGAGUCAGUUUGUCUCUGCUCCCACUUCGGUUCAUUACAGUCACCUCCUUCGUGUUCUCCGAUAUCUUCGAGGCACGAUCUCUCACCGUCUGUUCUUUCCUCGCUCCGGUUCAUUACAGCUUUAGGCCUAUUCAGAUGCUACGUGGGCUAGUGAUCCCUCGGAUCGCCGUUCACUUUUUGCUUACUGUGUUUUUCUUGGUGGUUCACUCAUUGCCUGGAAGACGAAGAAACAGACUGCAGUUUCCCGUUCGAGUGCAGAGGCUGAGUUGCGAGCUAUGGCUCUUUUGACGGCAGAGGUGACUUGGUUACGGUGGUUGCUUCAGGAUUUUGGUGUUUCUGUCACUACACCUACUCUUCUACUAUCUGACAGUACAGGUGCUAUUAGCAUUGCGCGUGACCCUGUGAAGCAUGAGCUCACCAAGCAUAUUGGUGUUGAUGCUUUUUAUGUGCGCGCUGGUGUGCAGGAUCGGGUUAUUGCUCUUCAGUAUGUGCCUUCCGAGUUACAGUUGGCGGAUUUCUUUACGAAGGCCCAAACUAGAGCACAACAUGGCUUCUAUCUCUCCAAACUCAGUGUUGUUUAUCCACCAUGAGUUUGAGGGGGGGGUGUUAGAGUUAUAUUUAUAUAGCCAUGUAGCCUUUUGUCUUUACCCCAUUGUAUAAGGGGUUUUCUGCAUAUUACCUGCACCUGUACAUGUAUAUAUGCUGGCCUAUGGCCCCAUGGGAAUACAAGUUGCAUAUUUCCUAACAUCAACCACCACCCGUUUCUGUCUGCCCACUCCACUGCGUUUUGAUAUGUGUCAUUUUGUGGCAAUGUGCAGGUGUAAGGAGUUGUUACGACGAGGGAAAGAGAACAGCAGAAACUCUGACCAUGGAUUACCAUCGUGGUGCUGGUGUUGAGGUAAAGCUGUAGUUGCUGAAUUGUGGUCUCAGUCAAACUAUAGACUUCCUUGUUGGCAAUGUCAUGUGUUGCCUAAAUUUAAUUGCAUAGGGCCCCUCAAUAUAUAUUAAUUGUGUGUCUCAAAACUUGUUUUAUGAUAUGGUAAGAUGUGCAAUAAAACCGGGCAGAAAUCAUUAUAUAUCUACCUGCAAAAAAAAAUCAUUAUGUAUCUGAGAUGGUAUUAAUAGGUGAUCUUUCAGUAAUUUCCUUUUUGAGUAAGUGAACUUGAGAGGGCCCAAAUGCCAAAUAUUGGACCCAUGUGCUUCAUGCUGUCUGUGUAUGUUUAUAUGUACUACACUUUGGGCAAUCAUGGGCAAGAGAGAUUGUGCCAUGUGUCUGUUGAUAUUUUUUGCCAGAAAAAAGUACCUUUGUGAUUGGUUUGAGUAGAAGGUCUUCUCUUGAGUUUUUUAAAUGAACAUUCAAGGUAUUGCUUACAUAUUUUUAACUGGACGGAGUGAAUCAAAGAGGGACAGUACAUUUGGCAAGAUUCUGCUUAUGAGUUGCUUUAUCUGUGUUCUAUUACUGUCUUACACAUCUUAAAGAUCAAAUUUGACAAGGGAACUUUCCUUCAGGUUAGAAUUGCUCGCAUAUUCAACACGUACGGCCCUCGUAUGUGUUUAGAUGAUGGCCGGGUUGUUAGCAACUUUGUUGCACAGGUUUGUCUUAAUUCAUAGCUCUUAUUCUUACAAAAGGAGGACUACCAUGUAAGUUUGGCAUUACUCAAUAUCCAUUGUCUCUCAUUUCCAGACUUUGCGAAAACAACCAAUGACGGUUUAUGGUGAUGGAAAGCAAACAAGAAGCUUUCAAUAUGUUUCGGAUUUGGUACUUGACUUGUUCAUUUUUCCUUGUCUAAAUGUGGAAGCAGCAACUUCUGUUUUGUUGUUCAAAACUGCACCGAUGCCUUAUGCAUUCAAAUCUUAAAAUCUUUAACCAUCUGUUAAUUUGUAGGUUGAUGGGUUGAUAACUCUGAUGGAAAAUAAGUACAUUGGACCUUUCAACUUGGGAAACCCUGGGGAGUUUACCAUGUUGGAGCUUGCUCAGGUCUGACCUUGAUACUGAAACUGACUGACCUCCACUUCUUGUUUGAACAUAAAGUGGAUUUUUUAAUAUAUUUUUUGCCUAUAUGGAAUAACGUUUCCGCACUAUAUUCCACAGGUAGUGAAAGAGACAAUUGACCCAAGUGCGCGUGUUGAAUUUAAACCCAACACCGCCGAUGAUCCGCACAUGAGAAAACCUGACAUCUCAAAGGCCAAAUCUCUUCUCAAUUGGGAGCCAAAAGUCUCUCUGAAGCAAGGCCUGCCACGUAUGGUUUCGGACUUCCAGAAACGCAUCUUGGAUGAGAAAUGAGGGGCAGGAGUUACCGAAGUCGGAUCUGUAUUAUACUUCACACGGAGCGUUUUUAGUGCCUUGGCAAGCUCGGCUGCAGGCGUAUAGAUUACAGAUAGCUUACCCAGGAUUCUUCUUCCAGGCAACUCUUUAGUGACAUGACAUGCGUUACUUGAUUUUAGUUUCAUUGAUACAUAAGUUUUGUCUCGGAAAUCAGAAUCAUGUGAUCAUGUUCUUGUCAACUCCUUAGGCUUUCAGAGAACAGUGGUAGAAAUUUACAUAAAUACAGAGUUUUUUUUUGCUUAAAUUCUACUCCCUUCAUACCAUAAUAUAAGAGUGUUUUUUAUACUACAGGGAGUAGUAUUCUGGCACCCAUUUGUUUUGUGUUUAUAGGAGUUCAUGCUACUCUGCUUUUGGUGUGGUUUGUGUUCUGUAACUCAUCCAAUAGUUCAGUUUUUCAGGAUUUCAUUUCAUGUGAAAUGCAUAGCCGUGUUAUGGUAGUUUUCUUCAUAAAAUAUGCAUAAAUAUACUUAGUUUUCUUCAUAAAAUAUGCAUAAAUACACCAGUACUUAGUUUGCAUUACAUAUAGGAGUGUUAUGGUAGUAAAAUGCAUAGGCCGUGAAAUUCAGAUUACAAAUGUUCAGCGCGACGGCAGAGCAUCAUAUAAUCUGAUACCACUAGUUAGGGAAGCAGCUCAGCUCAGGAGAGGUGAAUAUCGAACUGGAGGAGGCUGUCGACGCCGUCGGUGGCGUGCUGGUCGCCGGGGUGCAGUGUGCGGAUGGCGGCGAAGCCCUUGGCGGUCUCGUACUUCCCUGUGCCGCCGAUGACGGCGAUGCGGGACUCUUGCGCCCCCGUCCGGUGCACCCCGAAGAAGCUGAGCGUGUCGCCGUGCGCUUCGCCGCCGAACAGGGCCGUCAGCACGACCGUCUUGCUGCUGCCGUCCUGCGAGCUCGCGACGUAGAACCCCUGCGCCCUGCCGACGGCCGCGGCGCCGAGCUCGUGGCCCCCGGCGAGCUCCUCGUCCACGACGGUGGUCAUGCCGAAGAGGAGGUUCUGGGGCGUGGCGCCGCCGCCAGCGUUGACGGAGGGGAUGGUGUUCUUGUAGCCGCCGUUGACGGCGUUGCCAUUGCUCUGGACGAGGCUGUCGUAGGGGACGACGUUGUUGCUGCUGGCCAGGUCGUCGGCGCUCGCCACCACCCCGGUCACCAUGAGCGCUGACGGCUGCGACGAGCUGCCGAGGAUGUCGUGCAUGAAGAACGUCAGCGGGCUGUCGCCGGCGCCUGCAGCCACACCGGCUCCUAGGUUGGCCGUUGC
Molecule: long non-coding RNA, 7426 nt
Filed under: Triticum aestivum (bread wheat)
Lineage: Eukaryota; Viridiplantae; Streptophyta; Magnoliopsida; Poales; Poaceae
Description: long non-coding RNA (TAES_LNC004611)
Source: RNAcentral